This 468-nucleotide ribosomal RNA is filed under the name uncultured bacterium. Its description in RNAcentral is "partial 16S ribosomal RNA". It matches the Rfam family "Bacterial small subunit ribosomal RNA", at positions 28 to 507 of the family's 1533-position model. The record is from RNAcentral.
GACGAACGCUGGCGGCGUGCUUAACACAUGCAAGUCGAACGGAAAGGCCCUGCUUUUGUGGGGUGCUCGAGUGGCGAACGGGUGAGUAACACGUGAGUAACCUGCCCUCGACUUUGGGAUAACUUCAGGAAACUGGGGCUAAUACCGGAUAGGAGCUCCUGCUGCAUGGUGGGGGUUGGAAAGUUUCGGCGGUUGGGGAUGGACUCGCGGCUUAUCAGCUUGUUGGUGGGGUAGUGGCUUACCAAGGCUUUGACGGGUAGCCGGCCUGAGAGGGUGACCGGCCACAUUGGGACUGAGGUACGGCCCAGACUCCUACGGGAGGCAGCAGUGGGGAAUAUUGCACAAUGGGCGGAAGCCUGAUGCAGCAACGCCGCGUGCGGGAUGACGGCCUUCGGGUUGUAAACCGCUUUCGCCUGUGACGAAGCGUGAGUGACGGUAAUGGGUAAAGAAGCACCGGCUAACUACGUG